This 458-nucleotide long non-coding RNA is filed under the name Gallus gallus (chicken). RNAcentral's name for it is "long non-coding RNA NONGGAT002561". The record is from RNAcentral. Lineage: Eukaryota; Metazoa; Chordata; Aves; Galliformes; Phasianidae.
UCAAGGUGGAUGACAGUGGGAUAUACCCUUUGCUGAGCACCAGGGUAAACCCACACCAGGGCAGCCAUGAGGUGACUUCCAUGCCUCCAGCCUACUGCACAGAAGACAUCACCUCCUAGAAAACUGUAUUUCAGACUACACUGCAAAUUGCAGCAGGACCCCGCAGACCCUCUGCAGAUGUCCCAGCACUGCUGUCCCCUCCCAGGAGGGAAGCCCUGGUACCACCGAGAGCAUCACGCAGCCAAUGGCACGACACGCCCUCUGCUUCUCUGCUCAGCGUAACGAAUCCUGCCUCCCACUCAGAGCUGCUAAGAGAAGUUACUGAUGAGGAGAAAUUCAUCAAAUUGUAAUCCAGGGAGAACACGAGAGAGAGAGAGAGAGAAAGGCCAACAGCAGCACACACGUACCCUGCAAAAAUCCCAAAGUUGACAUUUACAUUUCAAACACUUAUAACGGCU